RNAcentral lists this ribosomal RNA (468 nucleotides) under uncultured bacterium. RNAcentral describes it as "partial 16S ribosomal RNA". It matches the Rfam family "Bacterial small subunit ribosomal RNA", at positions 28 to 507 of the family's 1533-position model. The record is from RNAcentral.
GACGAACGCUGGCGGCGUGCUUAACACAUGCAAGUCGAACGGAAAGGCCCUGCUUUUGUGGGGUGCUCGAGUGGCGAACGGGUGAGUAACACGUGAGUAACCUGCCCUUGACUUUGGGAUAACUUCAGGAAACUGGGGCUAAUACCGGAUAGGAGCUCCUGCUGCAUGGUGGGGGUUGGAAAGGUUCGGCGGUUGGGGAUGGACUCGCGGCUUAUCAGCUUGUUGGGGGGGUAGUGGCUUACCAAGGCUUUGACGGGUAGCCGGCCUGAGAGGGUGACCGGCCACAUUGGGACUGGGCUACGGCCCAGACUCCUACGGGAGGCAGCAGUGGGGAAUAUUGCACAAUGGGCGGACGCCUGAUGCAGCAACGCCGCGUGCGGGAUGACGGCCUUCGGGUUGUAAACCGCUUUCGCCUGUGACGAAGCGUGCGUGACGGUAAUGGGUAAAGAAGCCCCGGCUAACUACGUG